Bos taurus (domestic cattle) is the source of this 1311-nucleotide long non-coding RNA. The record is from Ensembl. NCBI's taxonomy places the organism in Eukaryota, Metazoa, Chordata, Mammalia, Artiodactyla, Bovidae.
CCCUUGAUCUGUAUUGCCCACGAGUUUUCCAGAAGGUUCCAGCGAUUGGUGGUACCUGAGAUUGCCGGUUUCACCAUUUCUUUGCCAGUCUAAGUUGUUGUUUUUUCCCUUUUGGGUAUUAGAAAAAAGCAAAGUAUCAUAUCACUGUGUUAGGUUGUAUAUUUUUCACUAGUCAGCAGAAGGUCAUGUGACAAUAGGAGCAGAGACGGGUGACGCAGCUGCUAAUCAAGGAUUGAGACCACCACCAGACGCUAAGAGAAGGGCAGGGAAGGAUGUGACCCACAGGCUCAGAGGGAGUAUAGCCCCACUGAUACCCUGAUUUCACACUUCUGGCCUCCAGAAUGAUUUGGUGGCCACUCUAUAUGUGCUGCUGCUGCUGCUGCUAAGUCGCCUCAGUCGUGUCCGACUCUGUGCGACCCCAGAGACAGCAGCCCACUAGGCUCCUCUGUUCCUGGGAUUCUCCAGGCAAGAACACUGGAGUGGGUUGCCAUUUCCUUCUCCAAUGCAUGAAAGUGAAAAGUGAAUGUGAAGUCGCUCAGUCGUGUCCAACUCUUAGCGACCCCAUGGACUGCGGCCUACCAGGUUCCUCUGCUAGAUGUUUUUAAAUACGUUAUCUUCUUAAAUCUUUCCUGUUGUCCUGUAAGGUUUGCCUUGAAAAUGAAAGUCACUCGGUCAUGUGCGACUCUUUGUGACCCCAUGGACUUAGUCCAUGGAAUUCACCAGGCCAGAAUGCUGGAGUGAGUAAGCCUUUCCCCUUCUCCGGGGGACCUUCUCAACCCAGGGAUCGAAUCCAGGUCUCCCACAUUGCAGGCGGAUUCUUUACCAGCUGAUCCACAAAGGAAACCCACGAAUACUGGAGUGGGUAGCCUAUCCCUUGGCCAGGGGAUCUUCCCUACCCAGGAAUCGAACUGGGGUCUCCUGCGUUGCAGGCGGAUUCUUUACCAACUGAGCUAUGAGGGAAGCCCUAGGUUUGCUUUAGAAGCUCCAUUUCACUAAAAAGAAAACAAAGAAUCAGAGAGGUUAAGUUACCUCUCCGAGGUCACACAGCUUGUAAGGGCCAGGGUCAAGAUUCCAGUCUCCUCGGCUCAGGUAUUUCUACUCCAUCUCAGGCCGUCACCUCCGGAGUGUCUUUCUCAGUCCCCAGAGGCACCCUGUGACCCACUGAGAGUGGAAAAUUUCAGCCCUGUUCCAGAGGGCAGGCUCCUCCCUGGCCCCGACGCUGCCGCCUACCCGGCUGAUUUAUAGAGAAGGUGGGGAGCAUUCCCCAUAUUCCAAUCCCACCCCGACCAGGGAUUCCUAAAGUGGAGAGAC